Sapajus apella (tufted capuchin) is the source of this 1059-nucleotide RNA transcript. It is a transcript of the gene named M-phase-specific PLK1-interacting protein pseudogene, with no coding region annotated. The record is from RefSeq and is a predicted model, not a curated record. NCBI's taxonomy places the organism in Eukaryota, Metazoa, Chordata, Mammalia, Primates, Cebidae. The transcript has 2 exons.
AUGUGCUUUGAUGAAAGACCCAUGUGGCUAGCAACAGCUCUUACAUUUUGUCCCUGGGUCCUGGCCUGGGUAGGAUUCCUGGGUGUUCUGUUGGCUCAUUUGGGGCCAUCAAUCCACUUUGGACCACUCACUGUCUGCUCUGCCUCCACCAAUGAGAACGCCUUCCAAGGAACAGUGAGAGCCAAAGCCAAGAGAAGCCUUGUUCCCUCAACAGAAUUUUCAGCCCCGACUCCUCCUUACCCUGGUCCAGGUGGAGGAGGUUGAGGUAGCGGAAGCAACUUGCAGGGUAACCCGGGUGGGGGCGGACCACGGCCGCCCUCUCCUUGAGAUGGAUACCGGAGUCCGCACCACAGGCCUCCGAAGGGCCCGGUCUAGGCCCCUACGGGAGCAGCCACUCUGCGACACGACUGCAGCUUCCCGGGGGCCUGGUUCGGGUCUCCGUACCCUGGCGGCUACCCUGGCUCCUACUCCAGGUCCCCCUCAGGGUCCCAGCAGCAAUUCGGCGACUCCUCAGGGCAGCAGCAGACCCACCCCCAGCGUUCACCAAUGAAAUCCGCAGCAUUUGGAUCCCGGCGUAUUAGAGAAAACAGAAUGCCUAAUGAGUUGGAAAAUUAUUUCAAGCCGUCAAUGCUUGAAGAUCCUUGGGCAGGCCUAGAACCACUAUCUGUAGUUUAGAUAAGCCAACAAUACAGCAAUACUCAAACAUUCACAGGCAAAAAAGGAAGAUACUUUUGUUAACUUUUCUAAAUUCAGUUGGAAGCUUCGUGUGUUAGGAACAUCGUGGACAAAAUUUUAACUUGUGUUGAUAUAAAUUUACCCAAAGAUGAUGACUUUGAUUGGAUAAUUAGUAAGGUCUCUUUGUUAUUUUUCAUCAUAUCGGGUACCGUUCUGUUGAUAUUAGAGAAAAAAAGUAGGAUAAUUUGCAACAUUUAGCCUUGGAAGUACCUACCACAUUUUAGAGAUUUACAGUUUCCAUAUAUUUAACAUUCCUGGUUAUAUAAUUGACAUUUGUCUUUUAAUGUUUUUUCAAUGUUUUAAAAUAAAACAUUUUGUCUUCUA